This 482-nucleotide ribosomal RNA is filed under the name uncultured bacterium. Its description in RNAcentral is "partial 16S ribosomal RNA". It matches the Rfam family "Bacterial small subunit ribosomal RNA", at positions 30 to 507 of the family's 1533-position model. The record is from RNAcentral.
AUUGAACGCUGGCGGCAUGCCUUACACAUGCAAGUCGAACGGUAACAGGUCUUCGGAUGCUGACGAGUGGCGAACGGGUGAGUAAUACAUCGGAACGUGCCCAGACGUGGGGGAUAACGAGGCGAAAGCUUUGCUAAUACCGCAUACGAUCUAAGGAUGAGAGCAGGGGACCGCAAGGCCUUGCGCGUUUGGAGCGGCCGAUGGCAGAUUAGGUAGUUGGUGGGAUAAAAGCUUACCAAGCCGACGAUCUGUAGCUGGUCUGAGAGGACGACCAGCCACACUGGGACUGAGACAAGGCCCAGACUCCUAAGGGAGGCAGCAGUGGGGAAUUUUGGACAAUGGGCGAAAGCCUGAUCCAGCAAUGCCGCGUGCAGGAUGAAGGCCUUCGGGUUGUAAACUGCUUUUGUACGGAACGAAAAGGCUCUGGCUAAUACCUGGGGCACAUGACGGUACCGUAAGAAUAAGCACCGGCUAACUACGUG